UUUUUCUGGCAGGUCCUGGACCCGUUUUUACGGGGGGGUAAUGCUCGUGUUGUAGGGGAGGUUCUGCCGGAUUUUCGAUAGAAUUCUCCCGAGUCGAGAUUCUUAGACAGUCAGUCCUAGGAGUCUAGACCUAGGAUUAAUGAUCGAUUGUUUCAGCGUUUUGAUAAAUUGUUUUCCGUGACUAGAUGGUCAGUUCGUUCGGCUCGCUCCUACCGAGGCACCGGAGCAGAGCUAGGAGGUCGCCAAACCUGUGAGUUAAAGUCAUUUAAUCUUUGCGCUAUUGCUAGUCUGAUUUUAAUAUGCUAUUUAGAAUUUGUGCUUAAUAUGAUUAUUAGUAUCGAAAAAUAAAUGAUUUCACUUAAUUAUUAAUAUUUGAAAUAAUACAAAUAUUAUUAUUAGUAUGUUAUAAUAAGAUAAACGUUAUUAUUUUUUCCCUCACAAAUUGCACGUUGUUUUACCUUAGAUCUUUAAUCUUUAUUUCGAUAUGUGUUGGUUGAGUUCAUCAGAUAAUGAUAUUUAUUAAAUGGAUGAUUGUGUCUUGGGAAACGUGGCUUGUAGAACAUGCCGCCUGAUGGGUUACAUCAGGACCGCGUGCGCACCGGUAAUGAUCAUGGACAUGUAAUAAGAUAUUUAUGGGUUUGCCCUGGUCGAGCAUGGCUCUCUGGGCUGAUUUGAGUAAAUUGCCGGAGGUAAGGUCCCUGGUCGAGCAUUGCUCUCUGGGCGCCGGCUUAUUUUGAAUUCAAGUGUUCAGACUGGAGGUAAGGUCCCUGGUCGAGCAUUGCUCUCUGGGCGCCAGUCUUAUUAGAUUAAGAGAGCCAAAAUGGCUGUUAGAAUUUGGGGUUAGGGUUCUACUGAGCCACUCAUCCCGUAAAAGUAAAAAUAUAUUUUUAUUUAUUCAUUUAUUUAUUUAUUACGGUAUGAUUAUAAUAUGGAUUUUAUUUACGUGCAUGGUUGGUAUAUUGAUUCGAAUGAUUAAUAUUUUCUGUGAAGAAAGUAAUAGGGUAUGAUUAUAAUGUGAUUUGUAUUUACGAGCAUGGUUUGAUAUACUGAUUUGAAUAAUCUAUAUUUUCUGAGAAGAAUGCAAUAGUCCCCAGAUUAUUUGAUUUUAACUCACUCUCGAGACUGACAGUCUCAUUUUUACUAUUUUUCAGAUUCGUGACUGUUAGUCCUCUCGCGACUCUUAUUCAGUAACCCGACUCCUUCAUCAUCGGGUGAUGUAUUUAAUUUGGUAUGUAAAUUGGUAGAUCUUAGAUUCUCCGCAGUAGUAAUAGUAAAUGUAUCAGUUGUAAUUUUUUCUGAGCUUCGGGUCUCGCCUAGUUUUCUUUUCUGGUAGACCGAAGUAAUUUUGUAAAGUGUAACUAUUAAGAUAAAUUGAGGUUUUAAUAAUAUUAAUUUGAGAUGAGAUUUAUUUAAAUCAGUGAGUGUCAGGCUUACUACGGGUUUCGGUGGCCUUAAGCCUACCCAUUCCCUAGUGCCGGUCACGGGCCCACGGGUGGGGUCGUGACAGCCUAGACUCCUAGAAUUAACUGUCUAAGAAUUUCGACUCGGGUAAAUUCUACCGAAAAUUCGGCAGAACCUCGCUAAACACGGAUGUCUACCCCCCGUGUAACGGGUCCAGAAACUGCCAGAAAACACUUCAGAUUCCAACAAUUUAUUUAACAAGAGUCGGGUCACCAAGACUUCAUUAUUUUUCCCGACUCCGCCACACAUUACAAAUUACGAUUAUUCGCAGACGGUCCGACAAUUUAUUAUUCGACAAACAAACCCCAUAUAAUUUUUCUAAUGCUAAACACAAUAAUUAAUCAUAUAAUUUUUCUCAACAAACUAUAAAAUCAUCGGGCUAGAGAAUUACCGAGGCGCUUGAUCACUCGGUCGACUCGCCUCCAGCCGCCGGAGUCCGAUCGAUGAUCCGAGCGCUCCUACGAACUCGAAACAACAUGCUGAUGAUUAUUCCAGCAUCCAAUCUUUCGAUCCGACCUUCGAUCAUUUGAAGAAAUCUACGGACGAUCUCGGCCGUCGAUUUUCAAACGGAGUCCAAUCACCGCCAAAACGGGUGUCAUUGGAAAGCUUGAGUUGAGGGAAGUCCGGAUAUAUCCUCUGAUUGGCCAUCCCUCUCCGGUACUCGCGGGAAAAUACCCAAAAUUACGAUUACCCCUACUCUCUCUCUGCACCACAAACUUCCAUUUGUGUCACUAUCACCGCCGAAAUGAAGCUCGGAUCGAGAGGAGUCGUUUGCCACCAAAAAUAGUGGCUACCGAUGCCAAAAACGCCACGCACAAUGGCAAGGGAAGCUAUGGCUGCCUUUCUCGCUCCCACGCUAGCUGUUGCCUCCAGCUGCAGCCACCGGUGCCAUCGAGCUCGCCAACGACAGCAGCACUCCUAGUCGCUGCCGCCGCACCACAAACAAGCCUCCAUUGCCACCGCUAUUGAUGACCGACGCCCUUUCCUCCUUCUUUUUCUCUUCCGCGGUCCCCUUCUCUUUUCUUUUCUUUCUUUUUCUUUCUUUCUUUUCCUUUCUCUUAUCGACAUUUGGUCCCUGAACUUUUCUUCUUUACCAUUUAGUCCCUCAACUUUUUAAUUACCAAUAAUUUCCCCAUUGCAAAAUUCAUGAUUAACCCUUCAAAUUUUCUUUAGCUUUUCAAUUUAGCCCCUAACUUUUUAAUUUGGGUCAAGUUACAAUUAUUGAAAAUAUAAAAUUACUUAUUUACCAUUGCUUUUAAAUGUAAAAUUAUUAAAAUGUCCUUACCGACAUAUUUAAUUAUAAAAAUAUCAACCAUAUAAAUUUUCAUUUAAAACCCCAAAUUAAAGCAAUUAUAUUUUUAUUCCUUAUUCCAAAAUUUAUUGUCAAUUUAAUCCUAACACUUAAUUAACUUAAUUAAUCAAUUUACUAACUAUUUUUUAAUUAAAAUUAACACCAUUAGCUAAUUAAAAUUUAUUAUUCUCUAAUAAAUUCUUUUAUAAAAAUAUUAUUUACUUUUUCUUUCAUAACUUUCAAAUAUAUAAUUUAAUUAAUAUACUCAUAUGGGGAGAAAAUUAAUGUCACGACCCCACCCGUGGGCCCGUGACCGGCACUAGGGAAUGGGUAGGCUUAAGGCCACCGAAACCCGUAGUAAGUCUGACACUCACUGAUUUAAACAAAUCUCAUCUCAAAUUAAUAUUAAUAAAGCCACAAAUUAUCUUAAAUGCUACAUUUUACAUAAUUUAAUCGGUCUGCCAGAAGAACUAGGCGAGACCUGAAACUCAGAAAAUUUACAACUGAUACAUCUACUAUUACUACUGCGGAGAAUCUAAGAUUUACCAAUUUACAUACCAAAUCAAAUACAUCACCCGAUGAUGAAGGAGUCGGGUUACUGAAUAAGAGUCGCGAGAGGACUAACAGUCACGAAUCUGAAAAACAGUAAAAAUGAGACUGUCAGUCUCGAGAGUGAGUUAAAAUCAUAUACCUAUAACAGUUUCAAAUAUCUCAAUGUCACCUUAUUAAAUUUUAAAAUAAUUAAUAAAUCACGCGAACCAUACGUGUCAUGUUAAAACAUAUGUGUCAUGCCAUGCUUAAACAAAAUUUAUUCCACAUGCAACGGGACGGAGUACUUCAGUAGAACUCUAAUCCCAACUCUAAAAUCUUGAUUAUUUCAACACUUAUAUCUCAACUAACCUCAACUCUAUCAUCUCAAACCUCUCAUUCCAACAGGACUGGCGCCCAGAGAGCAAAGCUCGACCAGGGACCUUACCUCCAGUCCGGUCACUUAACUCUCAGCCUUAGCCUUUCGGCUCUCUUAUCCAAUAAGACUGGCGCCCAGAGAGCAUAGCUCGACCAGGGACCUUACCUCCAGUCUGUUCACUUAAAUUUCCAAAUAAGCCGGCGCCCAGAGAGCAAUGCUCGACCAGGGACUUUUACUCCGGCAACCACACUCUACUAAGCCCAGAGAGCGAUGCUCGACCAGGGCAGGUCCUAAUCUUUCUUUCUUAAAUUUUUUACCUCUUUACCCUUUCCCUAUCUCUCUCAGAUUAUAUUGGGACACUCAUCCAACUCCUAUGUUCUACUGCCGUCCCAUCCUGAGUCAUCAUGCAAUAUUAAAAUUGGUAAUAAAGGAAAAACAUAUUUAAAUAGUAAUUAAAAGCAUCAUGCAAAUGAUAAUAAUAAUAAUUAAAUGAAAAAUUGAAAUUGCAAAUAAAUAUUCACAGUAGCAAAUCAAAUUUUAUGCAUGACACGUGCGUAAGCGAUAUAUGACUUUAACUCACAGGUUUGGCGACCUCCUAGCUCUGCUCCGGUGCCUCGGUUGGAGCGAGCCGAACAAACGGACAAUCUAGUCACGGAAACAAUUUAUCAAAACGCUGAAACAAUCGAUCUUUAAUCCUAGGUUUAGACUCCUAGGACUAACUGUCUAAGAAUCUCGACUCAGGAGAAUUCUACUGAAAAUCCGGCAGAACCUCCUCUACAACACGAACAUUACCCCCCGUAAAAACGGGUCCAGGACCUUCCAGAAGAACACUUCCAAUAUCCAACAAUUUAAACAACGGGAGUCGGGUCCCCAAACUUCACUAUCUCCCGACUCCGCCACACAGCACAAAACACAAGGCAGGCAACUGACAGACAAUUAUUUUUGACUCACAAUAACAUCAAAUACUCAAUAUAAACCAUUAGACACAAUUAAACCAAGAAUUCCAAAAUUAACGGGCCAAAGAUAAUUACCGAGACGCUCGAUCGCUCAGUCGACUCGCCUCCGGCCGCCGGAGUCCGAUCGACGAUCCGAACACACCAUUGGACUCACAACGACGCGCUGAUGACGAUCCCCGCUUCUGAUUUUCGGAUCUGACACUCGAUCGUCCGGAGAGAUUUACGGACGAUCACGGCCGUCGAUUUGCAAACAGAGCCCGAUCGCCACCAAACCGGUGCCAUUUCGAAGCUUGAGAUGAGGAGAGUCGGGAUAUGCCCUCCGAUUGUCCAUCCUCCGCCGGAGCUCGCCGAAAAAAUCCAAAAACCUCGGCUGCCUCCACUUCGCCGGAACUCUCUCCUCCGGCCACCAAAACCGACGCCGCUGCCGCCAAAAGGAAGCUCUCUCCAAAGGGAGUUGAUCGCCACCAAGAUCGGCCGGAAACGGCCGGAACGGCCUUCGAAAGCCGCUACCACACGCGCGAUUCCCGCCGCCUCACGCUACCGCUGGAGCCGCUGCGCUCGCCAGCGCACGCCGCUCCGCGCCCCCGGAGCUCGCCACCGACGCCUGCAGCGUCCCUCUCUCUCUCUCCCGGCGCCGCACUCUCUCUCUCUCUCUCUCUACUUUCUCUCUCCCCGAUUCCAUUUCUUUCAAUAUCGACAUUAGGCCCCCGAACUUUUCCUUAUUACAACUUGGUCCCUCAACUUUCUUAAUUACUUACAAUUUCAUCCCGCAGAAUUUCAAUUUGACCCCCAAACUUCUUUUUAGCCUUUCAAUUAAGCCCCUAACUAUUUAAUUUGGGCCAAAACCGAAUUAUUGAAAAUACACAAUUACAAAAAUACCCCUGAUCGACAUAUUUAUUUACAAAAAUACCAAGCUCACAAAUUUCCAUUUAAACCCCAUAAAAAUAACAUUAUACUUUCAAUCCUUAUUCCAAAAUAAAUUUUCAAUUUAUUCCUAAUACACAAUUAAAUUAAAUAAUCAAAUUCCAACUUAAAAUUUAAUACUACUAAUCAAUUAUAAUACCAAUUUUCUCAAAAUUCUUUUAUUAAAACAUCCUUUAUAAUUUCUUUCAAAAUUUUCCAAUAUAUAAUUUUACUUAUAUAAAUAUGCAUUUGGAAAAAAAAAUUUGAAUAACCAAAAUAUAAUCAUUUCUCAAAUAAUUUACUUGAAUAAUUUCUUAAAAUUUCAAACUAAUUGAGUAUAGAAAAUAACUCAUUUAUUUGAUUAACAUUAAAUUUUUCAUUAAAUCAUUUCAAAUUAAACCCAAUAAUAAUAAAGCUAAAAUUAACUUAAAUAAAAACUCAUUAUUAAAUAUAUAAAAAUUCCGGGUGUUACAUUCUCCCCCCUUAAAAAAAAAAUUCGACCUCGAAUUUUAAAAGAAAAGGGGCUACACUCUAAGACUGAAACUAAUUAGGAACCUCUCAUCUCCAUUCGGCUUCUAGAGAACUUUCCUCGGCAGAAAUAAACUAAACCACAAGACUCAUCGACAAAACCCUUAAAUAAAACUGGCGAACCUGAAAAUCCGCGAUCCUCACUUACUACUCCUCGGAAACCAAAUCUUCACUUGCUUCCACACAAUAAGGGUCCAACACGAGCAAAGAUCGAAAAUACACUUCCUCAGCUCAAACUUACGAACAACUGGAUUUGACCUCAGAGAACAUUACUUGGCGGCAAGUCCAACUUACAUUCCACCUCACCAACCUGCCGACAAAACCAAGGGUUUCCACACAAGAAGGGCCAAUUCUGAUCCUGCCAAAAAUCCACUCAUCAAAUUUUCUUCCUAAUGACGUGUCCCUUACACACGCAGAAAAUUCUUAACAUCCACAUCACAUCAUCCUCGACAUAACAUCCAUCUGAUCGCAUCAACCGACACAACCCAUGCCAUCCUGACACAAGAUUCCUCCUUGACUAAAAUCCAAAAGCCUCCCUUAUAAUCUAACAUGGGGCCUACAGCUCCACAUACUCACUCUCUCAACAACUCAACUCGUCAUCCAGAGAAUUCUCAAGCUAACACUAUUUACUUUGAAAAAUUUACUUAUUUAUUUACUUUAUAAUCAUCACUAAUAAAAGCUUUAUUAUCUUGGAAAAAUACUUUUAUAAAAUCGUAAAACCUUUAGCCAUUUCUUUAUAUAAAAUUUUACAAUAUCGCGCGUCAGGGUGAUGAUGCCCCUAUCACCAAGGGUUGCAAUGCACAAUGUAUGAUGCAUGUCCUAAAAUGAAUUUAUGCAUGCCUAACAGUGAAAUGCCAUAAUGCAUUCUUACAGGACUGGGCGCAACAUUGUAUUUUAAAACACUUGUUCUACUUAGAAAAAUAGAUAAUGUUCGCUUAAGUUUCUCUGGAUUCUGAGCGUCCGAAAACACUCCUGCCACCUUUCUUAAGCUUCUUACAACCACAAAACUCAACCAUAAUAGCUGACAUCCGCUCGACUUCCCAGGCACUAACUUCGGCGCUACUCAAUAAGGCGAUGCCUGAUGCGUUGACGAGGCAGUCCAUGACACGACUGCAACCACGCUCUACACUAAAACUGAUUGCGGUGCCCACCAUCGAAACCACGAUCAAAGCUUCUAAAGGCGGACUGCACUAAUCACUUGAAGAAACAGCACGAGUCUAUCGUGCUUCGGAUCUUCCCAUCACUACAAGGCACAUUCUCAGCACAGCACCAAGGACAAGCUUACAAGAAAGGAAAGACUGACUCUCUAACAGUGAAGGCUGAGACACUAGAGUCAAUGAAAACAACAAGAAAGACAUGAUCCUAACUCCGCAGUACCAAGAAAAAUCUUAACUUAGGUAGAAGGAAAUCUAAACCUAAGAUCUGAUACCAACUUUGUCACGACCCCACCCGUGGGCCCGUGACCGGCACUAGGGAAUGGGUAGGCUUAAGGCCACCGAAACCCGUAGUAAGCCUGACACUCAUUGAUUUAAACAAAUCUCAUCUCAACUUAAUAUUAAUAAAGCCACAAAUUAUCUUAAAUGCUACAUUUUACAUAAUUUAAUCGGUCUGCCAUAAGAACUAGGCGAGACCUGAAACUCAGAAAAUUUACAACUGAUACAUCUACUGUUACUACUGCGGAAAAUCUAAGAUUUACCAAUUUACAUACCAAAUCAAAUACAUCACCCGAUGAUGAAGGAGUCGGGUUACUGAAUAAGAGUCGCGAGAGGACUAACAGUCACGAAUAUGAAAAACAGUAAAAAUGAGACUGUCAGUCUCGAGAAUGAGUUAAAAUCAUAUAUCUAUAACAGUUUCAAAUAUCUCAAUGUCACCUUAUUAAAUUUUAAAAUAAUUAAUAAAUCACGCGAACCAUACGUGUCAUGUUAAAACAUAUGUGUCAUGCCAUGCUUAAACAAAAUUUAUUCUACAUGCAACGGGACGGAGUACUUCAGUAGAACUCUAAUCCCAACUCUAAAAUCUUGAUUAUUUCAACACUUAUGUCUCAACUAACCUCAACUCUAUCAUCUCAAACCUCUCAUUCCAACAGGACUGGCGCCUAGAGAGCAAAGCUCGACCAGGGACCUUACCUCUAGUCCGGUCACUUAACUCUCAGCCUUAGCCUUUCGGCUAUCUUAUCCAAUAAGACUGGCGCCCAGAGAGCAUAGCUCGACCAGGGACCUUACCUCCAGUCUGGUCACUUAAAUUUCCAAAUAAGCCGGCGCCCAGAGAGCAAUGCUNNNNNNNNNNNNNNNNNNNNNNNNNNNNNNNNNNNNNNNNNNNNNNNNNNNNNNNNNNNNNNNNNNNNNNNNNNNNNNNNNNNNNNNNNNNNNNNNNNNNNNNNNNNNNNNNNNNNNNNNNNNNNNNNNNNNNNNNNNNNNNNNNNNNNNNNNNNNNNNNNNNNNNNNNNNNNNNNNNNNNNNNNNNNNNNNNNNNNNNNNNNNNNNNNNNNNNNNNNNNNNNNNNNGCAUCAUGCAAAUGAUAAUAAUAAUAAUUAAAUGAAAAAUUGAAAUUGCAAAUAAAUAUUCACAGUAGCAAAUCAAAUUUUAUGCAUGACACGUGCGUAAGCGAUAUAUGACUUUAACUCACAGGUUUGGCGACCUCCUAGCUCUGCUCCGGUGCCUCGGUUGGAGCGAGCCGAACAAACGGACAAUCUAGUCACGGAAAACAAUUUAUCAAAACGCUGAAACAAUCGAUCUUUAAUCCUAGGUCUAGACUCCUAGGACUGACUGUCUAAGAAUCUCGACUCAGGAGAAUUCUACUGAAAAUCUGGCAGAACCUCCUCUACAACACGAACAUUACCCCCCGUAAAAACGGGUCCAGGACCUGCCAGAAGAACACUUCUAAUAUCCAACAAUUUAAUCAACGGGAGUCGGGUCCCCAAACUUCACUAUCUCUCGACUCCGCCACACAGCACAAAACACAAGGCAGGCAACUGACAGACAAUUAUUUUUGACUCACAAUAACAUCAAAUACUCAAUAUAAACCAUUAGACACAAUUAAACCAAGAAUUCCAAAAUUAACGGGCCAAAGAUAAUUACCGAGAAGCUCGAUCGCUCGGUCGACUCGCCUCCGGCCGCCGGAGUCCGAUCGACGAUCCGAACAUACCAUUGGACUCACAACGACGCGCUGAUGACGAUCCCUGCUUCUGAUUUUCCGAUCUGACACUCGAUCGUCCGGAGAGAUUUACGGACGAUCACGGCCGUCGAUUUGCAAACGGAGCCCGAUCGCCACCAAACUGGUGCCAUUUCGAAGCUUGAGAUGAGGAGAGUCGGGAUAUGCCCUCCGAUCGUCCAUCCUCCGCCGGAGCUCGCCGGAAAAACCCAAAAACCUCGGCUGCCUCCACUUCGCCGGAACUCUCUCCUCCGGCCACCAAAACCGACGCCGAUGCCGCCAAAAGGAAGCUCUCUCCAAGGGGAGCUGAUCGCCACCAAGAUCGGCCGGAAAGGCCGCCGGAAACGGCCGGAACGGCCUUCGAAAGCCGCUGCCACACGCGCGAUUCCCGCCGCCUCACGCUACUGCUGGAGCCGCUGCGCUCGCCAGCGCAUGCCGCUCCGCGCCCCCGGAGCUCGCCACCGACGCCUGCAGCGUCCCUCUCUCUCUCUCCCGGCGCCGCACUCUCUCUCUCUCUCUCUACUUUCUCUCUCCCCGAUUCCAUUUCUUUCAAUAUCGACAUUAGGCCCCCGAACUUUUCCUUAUUACAACUUGGUCCCUCAAUUUUCUUAAUUACUUACAAUUUCAUCCCGCAGAAUUCCAAUUUGACCCCCAAACUUCUUUUUAGCCUUUCAAUUAAGCCCCUAACUAUUUAAUUUGGGCCAAAACCGAAUUAUUGAAAAUACAUAAUUACAAAAAUACCCCUGACUGACAUAUUUAUUUACAAAAAUACCAAGCUCACAAAUUUCCAUUAAAACCCCAUAAAAAUAACAUUAUACUUUCAAUCCUUAUUCCAAAAUAAAUUUCCAAUUUAGUCCUAACACACAAUUAAAUUAAAUAAUCAAAUUCCAACUUAAAAUUUAAUACUACUAAUCAAUUAUAAUACCAAUUUUCUCCAAAUUCUUUUAUUAAAACAUCCUUUAUAAUUUCUUCCAAAAUUUUCCAAUAUAUAAUUUUACUUAUAUAAAUAUGCAUUUGGAAAAAAAAAAUUGAAUAACCAAAAUAUAAUCAUUUCUCAAAUAAUUUACUUGAAUAAUUACUUAAAAUUUCAAACUAAUUGGGUAUAGAAAAUAACUCAUUUAUUUGAUUAAUAUUAAAUUUUUCAUUAAAUCAUUUCAAAUUAAACCCAAUAAUAAUGAAGCUAAAAUUAACUUAAAUAAAAAUUCAUUAUUAAAUAUAUAAAAAUUCCGGGUGUUACAAUUAAGUGACCAAAAAUAUAAUUUAUUUUUUCAAGGAAUUUACUUAAUUAAUUUCUUAAAAAUCAAACUAAUUAGAUAUAGAAAAUAAUUCUCUUAUUUUUAUCUAGCAUUGAAAUUCUAUUUUAAAUUAUCAUAAUUCAAUUACUCAAGAUAAAACUAAAUUAAAUUAAAUAAAAACUCGUUAUUAAUUAUUACUAAUAUUAUUAUUAUUAAGAGAAAAUUUCGAGUAUUACACCAUCACUUGGCUUUCAGCAAUUCAAGUAAUCCUACAUAGACGCACUGAUGUGAGUUGUUGUACCAGAAUCUAUCCAUCAUGUAUGUCUAGUAACCGUAGUUAAAUUAACCUCUGAACAAACCAAAUUAAGAAGCAUGCCUUUCUUAGCACAUCAUGCGUGAUAAUUUGUGCAUUACUUCUUGUACCUUUCAGCUCCAUAAAAGAAACAACUAGUAUCUUCUAGUUUAUCCGAUUUCUUUUGUUGUUUCUUUUGAGAAGUUGUAUUUGCAGCUUCUUUAUCUUUUUUUCUUUUCUUAGUUUAGGGAUAUAAAUAUUCCAUCCAAACAAUAUUUAUGGUUGAUCAACAAUCUCCAACUGUGUUAAAUUUAUUACUUAACAUUUUCACAUCUCUUUGAUUAUUUUAUGUGUAUUUAAACCUUAUAAAGGUUAUUUUAAAGCUUUAAUGCACUUGUAAGGUCUGAGUGAAAGCGUAGAUACUUUGAUUAUUUUAUGUGUAUUUAAACCUUAUAAAGGUUAUUUUAAAGCUUUAAUGCACUUGUAAGGUCUGAGUGUUAGCGUAGACACUUAGAUUGGGUUUGAGAGUUAGCCUUUAGAAUAAACUCUUGUAAAGUUAUAUGUAAGCCUUAAACACAAGUGUAAAAUCUGGUGUGAGCCUUAAACAUUAAGUUGGGAGGGAGCUUGGGUAAAACUCCAUCGUAUUAUGUGUUGUGUUUUUGAAACACCUACUUGGGUAUUAGGAAAUAGAUGUAGGGUUUAUUAAUAUGCUAAUCACUAUAAUUCUUAUGUUCUUUCUUUUUUACUUGAUUUUAAUUUGUCAUCAUUCUUCCACGAUUCAACCUUUUUUUUGGUUCAUAAAACAAACACAAAUUAAAUCUAUUAUAUGAAAUAAAAAUUUAAAAUUAAAAUAUAUUAAAAUUAAAUAAUAAAAUUAAAGGAAAAUAGAAUGCCAUCGACAUAAUCAACCAUAACAACAUAAUCAACCAUAACAAUAUAAAAUAGAAACCACCACUGAGGACCACCAUGCAACCACUAUCUAGUAGCUAACCNNNNNNNNNNNNNNNNNNNNNNNNNNNNNNNNNNNNNNNNNNNNNNNNNNNNNNNNNNNNNNNNNNNNNNNNNNNNNNNNNNNNNNNNNNNNNNNNNNNNNNNNNNNNNNNNNNNNNNNNNNNNNNNNNNNNNNNNNNNNNNNNNNNNNNNNNNNNNNNNNNNNNNNNACUAUCUAGUAGCUAACCUAAACCACCACUACUACUAUCUAUAGAUCUAUAUAAACUUUAUCUUUUUCUGUCCUUAUUUUAUUUUUAAAGCAUUUUUAAUAUUAUAGUAAAUUUUAAUUUUAACUUUUAUAAAGAAAUAAUUUUUAUUUUUUCCUUUCAUUUUUAAAACUAUAUUAUUUUCUAAUUAAUACUAAUAUAAUUAUUUUCGUCUCUUUCAUUAAUUAUAUAUGUUAUUACUAACCCUUAAUUUUUAUAUUUUGCUGAUUUUAUGUCUCAUAAUCUUCUUUGAGCUAAUUUUGUAUCUCAUAAUCACUUUUUUGAUAAUUGAAAAGUCAUUAUUUAUCUACACAACCAUUCUAAUAUAAAUCACCAUUUUGUCAUUCAUAUACUCUAUAUUUUCUAUCUUUAUCUUCAUUUCCAAUUUUAUCUUUAUUUGUAUCUUUAAAUAAAAUUAAAAAGUAAAUGAUGAAAGACAAUGCAUGAAAUAUAUCUUUUGAAAUAGCAUUGCGGUAAUUUGUAACCUUAUUUUUAAGAACUCUCAAAAUGUAUGUUAAAAAAAAAUUAUUUUAAUUCGUUAAGAAGUUUCAUAAUUAUGUACUAUUCAGGUUAGUAUUUUUUUUUUUUGCUUCAUUAUAUUAAAAAAUUAAUUUAAUAAUUUAGUUUAUAAAUUUAUAUAUCAAUGUAGAAUAUCCUUUUUUGUAUAUGAUAUAUGAAAGUAAGGUUUUAUCCCUUGCUUUCUCUCUCAUCACUUGAAAUUUUUUAUGAAUUUUACAGCAUUUUUCUGAAUUAUAGUGAGUUUUUAGUUUUAACUUUUAUGAAAAAAAUAAUUUUUUUCUUUUUCUUUCAUCUUUAAAACCAUAUUAAUUGCCAGUUAAUAUUAAUUUAGUUAUAUUCAUCUCCUCAAAUAAUUAUAUAUGUUAUUAAUAAUCUUUAAUCUUCAUAUUGUGCUAAUUUUGUGUCUCAUGAUCUUUCUUGGGUUAAUAUUAUGUAUCAUGAUCUCCGUUUGGAUAAUUUAAAAUUUAGUAUUUAUUACUACAUCCAUUUUAAUAUAAAUCAUCAUUUUGUUAUUCAUAUAUUUUAUAUUUUUAUCUCCAUCUUCAUCUUCAUUUCCAAUUUUAUCUUUAUUUGCAUCUUAAAAUAAAAUUAAAAGACAAUUAAUUAAGGAGAAUGAAAGAAAUAUAACUUUUAGAAUAGCAUUAUUGUAAUUUGUAACUUUAUUGUUAAAAACUCUCAAAAAGUAUGUUCAAAAAAAUUAAUUUAAUUCAUUAAGAAGUUUCAUGAUUAUGUACUAUUCAAGUUAGUAAUUUUUUUUUUGUUAUUUUUGCUUGAUUAUAUUAAAAGCUUAAUUUAAUAUUUUUAUUUAUAAAUUUUAUAUAUCAAUGUAAAUAUCCUUUGUAUCUCAUAGAAACUAAUUAAUUAUAUGGUUUAAUAGUCUCAUUAUUAAAUUUUUAUUUUUAUUUUUCUAUUAUUUAAAAUUUUGAAUUGUAUUAUUUUAAGUCAAAUCUCUUAUUUUUUUUAUAUUAUUUAAAUUUAAUUGUUUAUAUAUAUAAAAUUUAUAGUUAAAAUUAAUAAUAAUUCAUAUGUACCAAAGGAAGGUAAAAAUGGUUGUCAUUUUAUAUGUUUUGUAACUAUGCUAUUUUAAAUUUUUUAUUCUACUAUUCAUUUAUAUUUUUUUUCUCUUUAAUAGUAAGUUAUCUCUAAUUACAAUAAUAGAUUAAAUUAAGUAUAAAGUAUAAUAAUUGAUCUUUAUAUGAAUUUUUAUAUAACGAUUCACUUUAUGGACGGGCACAAAAACUAGUUUCAUACUAUUAUGACCACCAUUAAGAAAUUAUUUUCUAAUAAUAUUACGUACAAAAUCAUAGAAAAACAUUCCAUAGUCUCACCACCCAAGAAAAAUCACAAAAUAAUUCUCAACCAAACAAAUCAAAAUCAAAUCAANNNNNNNNNNNNNNNNNNNNNNNNNNNNNNNNNNNNNNNNNNNNNNNNNNNNNNNNNNNNNNNNNNNNNNNNNNNNNNNNNNNNNNNNNNNNNNNNNNNNNNNNNNNNNNNNNNNNNNNNNNNNNNNNNNNNNNNNNNNNNNNNNNNNNNNNNNNNNNNNNNNNNNNNNNNNNNNNNNNNNNNNNNNNNNNNNNNNNNNNNNNNNNNNNNNNNNNNNNNNNNNNNNNNNNNNNNNNNNNNNNNNNNAGAAAACUAGAAAUAAAGAGUGGUGGCAUAAUGGUGUUGCCUUAUCUCACUUGUUGUUCACAAUGUCAUAUAGUGGCAUCCAAAAUAGAUUAUGUAUCCGCGUUAGACACAUUUUAGACACUAGAAUUUUUUUAAAACCUUUUUCAGAUAUAUUUUAGAAAUUUUAAAAAAUAUUUUUUAUUAAUUUUUAUAUUUAUUUUUAAGAAUUUUUAAGAACCUUUCAAAGAAAUUAUUUUUAUUUAAUUGGAUUUCUCACUUGAGAAAAAUUCUUAAUUUUUUUUCAAUUUAUAGAUGAUUUCAAUUUUUUACUAUUUUAUAAUUUUUUAUUAUAUUAAUAUUUUUAAUUUUUAGUUAUUUUAUAUUAAAAAGUUUAUAUAUAUAUAUAUAUAUAUAUAUAUAUAUAUAUAUAUAUAUAUAUAUUAUCUAUAGUCAAUAACUAUAUUUAAAAAUCUAGUAAAUAUUAGUCAAUAAUUUAAUAAACAAAUCACACAAUAUAAGAUUUAUUAUUUGUCAACAAUGACUAAUUUAUUAAUUUUAUUUUUAUGAUAAUAAAGAUAAUAAUACUAUAAAAAAUUUAAAAUAAUCUUUUAUUAUUUUUAUAUUUUAGUUUUUACACUUGUUUAAGUUUUAUCUAAAAAUAUUCCACACUUUUAAUGUUUUUCUUACAUUUUAUUUUUUAAAUUUUUUAAAAUUUCAUAUUUUUAUAUCUUUGGAUCUCUGCAUGUCGCAUUGCAUGUUGUUGCUUCCCACAUUUAUUUCAUCCAACCUUAAUGAUAGCAUAAUGGGAAUGGGAGCAGUGGCAUUACAACUGAUAACGUAUCAAUCCAAUUUGGUUAUUUAUAAAUUAUCACUACUAUUAAAUUUUAGUUUUUUUUUUAAAUUUAAAAUAUCAGUAAUGCAUUAAAUAUAAAUGGCAUCAUAUACUGAAUUGAACCAAUUUUUUCACUUUAGCACAAUUCAGUUCGAUGCUAUUUUCAAUUUUAAUAUUUAGAUAAAAUACAACAUUAAAUCUUACAUUUAAUCAAAUACAUUAAAAAAAUAUAAUUGACAUUCGAAUGAAACUAGUAUAAGAAUUGGAAUCAGAUAGAAUUGUAAUUAUAUUCUUGAACAAUUUUUUUUAUAAUUUAUCUACUUACAAAUAUAAUAAUUUAAUAUUUCAAUAUAAAUUAUUAAAAUAUAUGAUAUUGCUAGCAUAAUAACAUUUUACAGAUGACUAGUAUUAAAAUAAAUUUUAUAAAUUUUAUAUAGUAUUAUAAUAUAAAUUUAAUUUUAAAUAUAAAAAAUGGAGGCGGAAACAUACUCAGCCGUAAGUGGCAUAUGGUGAUAUAUGCUAUCUAUUGUUUGCAAUUUGCUUGUUUGACAUCCGACAUCGUUGAUCGCUCGCCAUCAUUGAGGGGCGCAAUGGUAAUUGCAAGCCAUACAAGGAUAAGAGUUUUGAUGCUAAUCUAUUAUUUUAAGUUUUAAGAAGAUUUAUUAUUUAGUUUUUGAUUGAUUGGUUUAACAUUUAUAUUUAAAAUAAGCAAAGAGAAACAUGUGUCAUCAUUCUUUAUUAAUUUAUAUAUUAAAUAGGUUCCACCACUAACAAAUAUUUAAUAGGUAAUUGUCACGACCCCAUCCAUGGGCCCGUGACGGGCAAUAGGGAAUGGGUAGGCUUAAGGCCACCGAAACCCGUAGUAAGCCUGACACUCACUGAUUUAAACAAAUCUCAUCUCAAAUUAAUAUUAUUAAAGCCACAAAUUAUUACUUUACAUAAAUACUUCGGUCUGCCAGAAAAACUAGGCGAGACCUAAAACUCAGAAAAUUUACAACUGAUACAUCUACUAAUUACUACUGCGGAGAAUCUAAGAUUUACCAAUUUACAUACCAAAUCAAAUACAUCACCCGAUGAUGAAGGAGUCGGGUUACUGAAUAAGAGUCGCGGGAGGACUAACAGUCAUGAAUAUGAAAAACAGUAAAAAUGAGACUGUCAGUCUCGAGAGUGAGUUGAAAUCAUAUAUCUAAAACAGUUUCAAACAUUUCAAUAUCACAUUCAUUUAAUUUUAAAAAUAAUUAAUAAAUCACGCGAACCAUACGUGUCAUGUUAAGACAUAUGUGUCAUGCCAUACUUAAACAAAAAUUAUUCCAUAUGCAACGGGACGGAGUACUUCAGUAUAACCCUAAUCCCAACUCUAACAUCUCGAUUUAUUUCAACACUUAUGUCUCAACUAACCUCAACUCUAACAUCUCAAACCUCUCAUUCCAACAAGACUGGCGCCUAGAGAGCAAAGCUCGACCAGGGACCUUACCUCCAGUCCAGUCACUUAACUCUCAGCCUUAGCCUUUCGGCUUUCUUAUCCAAUAAGACUGGCGCCCAGAGAGCAUAGCUCGACCAGGGACCUUACCUCCAGUCUGGUCACUUAAAUUUCCAAAUAAGCCGGUGCCCAGAGAGCAAUGCUCGACCAGGGACCUUUACUCCGGCAACCACACUCUACUAAGCCCAGAGAGCGAUGCUCGACCAGGGCAGGUCCUAAUCUUUCUUUCUCAAAAUUUAUACCUCUUUACCCUUUUCCUAUCUCUAUCAUAUUAUAUUGGAACACUCAUCCAACUCCUAUGUUCUACUGCCGUCCCAUCCUGAGUCAUCAUACAAUAUUAAAAUUUGUGAUAAAGGAAAAACAUAUUUAUAUAGUAAUUAAAAGCAUCAUGAAAAUAAUGAUAAUAAUUAAAUGAAAAAUUAAAAUUGCAAAUGAAUAAUCACAGUAGCAAAUCAAAUUUUAUGCAUGACAUGUGCAUAAGCGAUAUAUGACUUUAACUCACAGAAUUGGGCGACCUCCUAGCUCUGCUCCGGUGCCUCAGUUGGAGCGAGCCGAACAGACAGAUCAUCUAAUCACGGAAAACAAUUUAUCAAAACGAUGAAACAAUUACAAUAGAUCCUAGGUCUAGAUUCCUAGGACUCACUGUCUAAGAAUCUCGACUCAGGAACUACCGAAAAUUCAGCAGAACCUCCCCUACAACACGAACAUUACCCCCCGUAAAAACGGGUCCAGGACCUGCUAGAAAAACACUCCAAAUGUCCAACACUUUAAACAAUGGGAGUCGGGUCCCUAAACUUCACUAUUUCCCCACUCCGCCACACAGCACAAAAACACGACUAUGGCAGGCAAACUGACAAACAAUUAUUUAUGACUCACAAAUAUCAUCAAAUACUCAAUAUAACCCAAUAAACACAAAUUUAAAAUCAAAGGAUUUCUAAGAUCAACGGCCAGAGAAAAUUACCGAGACGCUCGAUCGCUCGGUCGACUAGCCUCCGGCCGCCGGAGUCCGAUCGACGAUCCGAACACACCAUCGGACUCACAACGACGCGCUGAUGACGAUCCCCGCUUUCGAUUUUUCGAUCUGACACCCGAUCAUCCUGAGAGAUUUGCGGACGAUCUCGACCGUCGAUUCGCAAACGAAGCCCGAUCGCCACGAAACCAGUGCCAUCGAGAAGCUUGAGCUGAGGAGAGUCGGGAUACGUCCUUCGAUCGUCCAUCCUCCGCCGGAGCUCGCCGGAAAAACCAGAAAACACGGCUGCCACCACUUCGCCAGAACUCUCUCCUCCGGCCACCAAAACCGACGCCGCUGCCGCCAAAAGGAAGCUCUCUCCAAGGGGAGCUGAUUGCCACCAAGAUCGGCCGGAAAGGCCGCCGGAAACGGCCGGAACGACGCUCGGAAGCCGCUGCCACACGUCGCGCGAUUCCGCCGCCUGCCGACGCUGCCAGCUGCCUCCACCGCCACCAUCGUGCUCGCCGUUGCCGCCCGCUCCUUCCAACGUCAACACCGCCCUCGGCCUGGCCUCCAGCGUCCGUCCCCCAUGGACGCCGACGGCUCUCUCUCUCCUCCCUUUCUUCUUCU
This 17937-nucleotide long non-coding RNA is filed under the name Ricinus communis (castor bean). RNAcentral's name for it is "long non-coding RNA (RCOM_LNC002744)". Lineage: Eukaryota; Viridiplantae; Streptophyta; Magnoliopsida; Malpighiales; Euphorbiaceae. The record is from RNAcentral.